RNAcentral lists this ribosomal RNA (800 nucleotides) under uncultured bacterium. RNAcentral's name for it is "bacterial SSU rRNA". It matches the Rfam family "Bacterial small subunit ribosomal RNA", at positions 8 to 807 of the family's 1533-position model. The record is from RNAcentral.
AGAGUUUGAUCAUGGCUCAGGAUGAACGCUGGCGGCGUGCUUAACACAUGCAAGUCGAACGAAGCACUUUAUUUGAUUUCUUCGGAAUGAAGAUUUAGUGACUGAGUGGCGGACGGGUGAGUAACGCGUGGGCAACCUGCCUCAUACAGGGGGAUAACAGUUGGAAACGACUGCUAAUACCGCAUAAGCGCACAGUACCGCAUGGUACGGUGUGGAAAACUCCGGUGGUAUGAGAUGGGCCCGCGUCUGAUUAGCUAGUUGGCGGGGUAACGGCCCACCAAAGCGACGAUCAGUAGCCGACCUGAGAGGGUGACCGGCCACAUUGGGACUGAGACACGGCCCAAACCCCUACGGGAGGCAGCAGUGGGGAAUAUUGCACAAUGGGGGAAACCCUGAUGCAGCGACGCCGCGUGAGCGAAGAAGUAUUUCGGUAUGUAAAGCUCUAUCAGCAGGGAAGAAGAAUGACGGUACCUGACUAAGAAGCACCGGCUAAAUACGUGCCAGCAGCCGCGGUAAUACGUAUGGUGCAAGCGUUAUCCGGAUUUACUGGGUGUAAAGGGAGCGCAGGCGGAAGGCUAAGUCUGAUGUGAAAGCCCGGGGCUCAACCCCGGUACUGCAUUGGAAACUGGUCAUCUAGAGUGUCGGAGGGGUAAGUGGAAUUCCUAGUGUAGCGGUGAAAUGCGUAGAUAUUAGGAGGAACACCAGUGGCGAAGGCGGCUUACUGGACGAUUACUGACGCUGAGGCUCGAAAGCGUGGGGAGCAAACAGGAUUAGAUACCCUGGUAGUCCACGCCGUAAAC